GCUACUUUCAGAUACCUUGACAUUAUGGCCGGGUUUCAGGUGUAGGAAACCAGAAGAGCCGAAGAGCAUCAAAGACCUCCGACGGGGAAAAACACCUUUUUAAAAUUAAUAUUGAAUUAAGUCGAACAAACCUCACCAUGUGUGGUAAUCGAAAUCGCAACCUUAGAUUUGACAAGCUAGACUAAAUGAUCACUGUAAAUAAAAUACUAGCCGCCGCAGCCCCUAGUCCGAGAUUGCUCUGACGUCCAAAGGCUGAUUUACCAGAAAGCUUGGGCCCUGGAUAUCUGCUCGCCCAAAAUGGCAAAACAGUCUUUGGACGUCAGAGAAAUCUCAAACUACGCGGCCUUAAAACUGAAGUGUACAUGUAUAUCAAUGUCAGAAGUCAGAAGCUUCAGAAAACUACUAGUAAAUUAUGUUUCAAGAG
RNAcentral lists this long non-coding RNA (424 nucleotides) under Mytilus galloprovincialis (Mediterranean mussel). The record is from RNAcentral. Lineage: Eukaryota; Metazoa; Mollusca; Bivalvia; Mytilida; Mytilidae.